AAAUUGAAGAGUUUGAUCAUGGCUCAGAUUGAACGCUGGCGGCAGGCCUAACACAUGCAAGUCGAACGGUAACAGGAAGCAGCUUGCUGCUUCGCUGACGAGUGGCGGACGGGUGAGUAAUGUCUGGGAAACUGCCUGAUGGAGGGGGAUAACUACUGGAAACGGUGGCUAAUACCGCAUAACGUCGCAAGACCAAAGAGGGGGGACCUUCGGGCCUCUUGCCAUCAGAUGUGCCCAGAUGGGAUUAGCUAGUUGGUGAGGUAACGGCUCACCAAGGCGACGAUCCCUAGCUGGUCUGAGAGGAUGACCAGCCACACUGGAACUGAGACACGGUCCAGACUCCUACGGGAGGCAGCAGUGGGGAAUAUUGCACAAUGGGCGCAAGCCUGAUGCAGCCAUGCCGCGUGUAUGAAGAAGGCCUUCGGGUUGUAAAGUACUUUCAGCGGGGAGGAAGGUGUUGUGGUUAAUAACCGCAGCAAUUGACGUUACCCGCAGAAGAAGCACCGGCUAACUCCGUGCCAGCAGCCGCGGUAAUACGGAGGGUGCAAGCGUUAAUCGGAAUUACUGGGCGUAAAGCGCACGCAGGCGGUCUGUCAAGUCGGAUGUGAAAUCCCCGGGCUCAACCUGGGAACUGCAUUCGAAACUGGCAGGCUUGAGUCUUGUAGAGGGGGGUAGAAUUCCAGGUGUAGCGGUGAAAUGCGUAGAGAUCUGGAGGAAUACCGGUGGCGAAGGCGGCCCCCUGGACAAAGACUGACGCUCAGGUGCGAAAGCGUGGGGAGCAAACAGGAUUAGAUACCCUGGUAGUCCACGCCGUAAACGAUGUCUACUUGGAGGUUGUGCCCUUGAGGCGUGGCUUCCGGAGCUAACGCGUUAAGUAGACCGCCUGGGGAGUACGGCCGCAAGGUUAAAACUCAAAUGAAUUGACGGGGGCCCGCACAAGCGGUGGAGCAUGUGGUUUAAUUCGAUGCAACGCGAAGAACCUUACCUGGUCUUGACAUCCACAGAAGAAUCCAGAGAUGGAUUGGUGCCUUCGGGAACUGUGAGACAGGUGCUGCAUGGCUGUCGUCAGCUCGUGUUGUGAAAUGUUGGGUUAAGUCCCGCAACGAGCGCAACCCUUAUCCUUUGUUGCCAGCGAUUAGGUCGGGAACUCAAAGGAGACUGCCAGUGAUAAACUGGAGGAAGGUGGGGAUGACGUCAAGUCAUCAUGGCCCUUACGACCAGGGCUACACACGUGCUACAAUGGCGCAUACAAAGAGAAGCGACCUCGCGAGAGCAAGCGGACCUCAUAAAGUGCGUCGUAGUCCGGAUUGGAGUCUGCAACUCGACUCCAUGAAGUCGGAAUCGCUAGUAAUCGUGGAUCAGAAUGCCACGGUGAAUACGUUCCCGGGCCUUGUACACACCGCCCGUCACACCAUGGGAGUGGGUUGCAAAAGAAGUAGGUAGCUUAACCUUCGGGAGGGCGCUUACCACUUUGUGAUUCAUGACUGGGGUGAAGUCGUAACAAGGUAACCGUAGGGGAACCUGCGGUUGGAUCACCUCCUUACCUUAAAGAAGC
Molecule: ribosomal RNA, 1555 nt
Filed under: Salmonella enterica subsp. enterica serovar Rough O:-:-
Lineage: Bacteria; Pseudomonadati; Pseudomonadota; Gammaproteobacteria; Enterobacterales; Enterobacteriaceae
Description: bacterial SSU rRNA
Rfam family: Bacterial small subunit ribosomal RNA
Source: RNAcentral